Molecule: transfer RNA, 87 nt
Filed under: Gammaproteobacteria bacterium
Lineage: Bacteria; Pseudomonadati; Pseudomonadota; Gammaproteobacteria
Description: tRNA-Leu
Rfam family: tRNA
About the family: Transfer RNA (tRNA) molecules are approximately 80 nucleotides in length. Their secondary structure includes four short double-helical elements and three loops (D, anti-codon, and T loops).
Source: RNAcentral
GCCCGGAUGGCGAAAUAGGUAGACGCAAGGGACUUAAAAUCCCUCGGAAGCAAUUCCAUGCCGGUUCGACUCCGGCUCCGGGCACCA